GACGAACGCUGGCGGCGUGCUUAACACAUGCAAGUCGAACGAUGAACCGGUUUCGGCCGGGGAUUAGUGGCGAACGGGUGAGUAACACGUGGGCAAUCUGCCCUGCACUCUGGGAUAAGCCCGGGAAACUGGGUCUAAUACCGGAUACGACACUCCGAGGCAUCUUGGGGUGUGGAAAGUUCCGGCGGUGCAGGAUGAGCCCGCGGCCUAUCAGCUUGUUGGUGGGGUAAUGGCCUACCAAGGCGACGACGGGUAGCCGGCCUGAGAGGGUGACCGGCCACACUGGGACUGAGACACGGCCCAGACUCCUACGGGAGGCAGCAGUGGGGAAUAUUGCACAAUGGGCGAAGGCCUGAUGCAGCGACGCCGCGUGAGGGAUGACGGCCUUCGGGUUGUAAACCUCUUUCAGCAGGGAAGAAGCGAAAGUGACGGUACCUGCAGAAGAAGCACCGGCUAACUACGUG
RNAcentral lists this ribosomal RNA (464 nucleotides) under uncultured bacterium. RNAcentral's name for it is "partial 16S ribosomal RNA". It matches the Rfam family "Bacterial small subunit ribosomal RNA", at positions 28 to 507 of the family's 1533-position model. The record is from RNAcentral.